CACAUGCAGUCGAGCGGUACAGUGGAAGCUUGCUUUCUUGCUGACGAGCGGCGGACGGGUGAGUAAUGUAUGGGGAUCUGCCCGAUAGAGGGGGAUAACUACUGGAAACGGUGGCUAAUACCGCAUGACGUCUACGGACCAAAGCAGGGGCUCUUCGGACCUUGCGCUAUCGGAUGAACCCAUAUGGGAUUAGCUAGUAGGUGAGGUAAUGGCUCACCUAGGCGACGAUCUCUAGCUGGUCUGAGAGGAUGAUCAGCCACACUGGGACUGAGACACGGCCCAGACUCCUACGGGAGGCAGCAGUGGGGAAUAUUGCACAAUGGGCGCAAGCCUGAUGCAGCCAUGCCGCGUGUAUGAAGAAGGCCUUAGGGUGUAAAGUACUUUCAGCGGGAGAGGUGUUAAGAUUAAUACUCUUAGCAUGACGUACCGCAGAGAGCACGCUACUCGUGCAGCAGCGCGUAUACGAGGGGCAGCGUAUCGAUACUGGCGUAAGCGCACGCGGCGUCAUAGUCAGAUGUGAACCCCAAGCUACUGAAUGCUUCUAAACUGU
Molecule: ribosomal RNA, 550 nt
Filed under: bacterium amp-w-64
Lineage: Bacteria
Description: bacterial SSU rRNA
Rfam family: Bacterial small subunit ribosomal RNA (bases 1-476)
Source: RNAcentral